RNAcentral lists this long non-coding RNA (424 nucleotides) under Anser brachyrhynchus (Pink-footed goose). RNAcentral describes it as "lncRNA (ENSABRG00000010723.1)". The record is from RNAcentral. Lineage: Eukaryota; Metazoa; Chordata; Aves; Anseriformes; Anatidae.
CUGGCUGCUAUUUGUCAGAAUUUUCCACCUCAGUCAGACAUCAGCUAUGGAAAAGUGCAGCCAAAAUGGCCAAAGCUUCUCAAAAUUAUGAGCAGCUGGAUACAAGGACUCAUACUGGUACACGCUGUGCAGCCUUAACAACACACACUGCUAUCCACCACACCUGGAAUCUUAAUUAUAUACAGGAACUUUCAGUUAAUUGCUGGUAGCUAUAGGAAACCUGAGCCAUGUGGGAAAAGAUAUGCAUACAGACAGGGUUCAUCAGCAGAUGUGAAAAGAUCGCCCAGAAUCAUGUGACAAAAUCUCAGCAAUGUGUACUGUCAAUGUGAUGAAGAUUUGUAUUUCACAAAACUGAAGUCCUGUAUUAUUAAAUGAAGCAGUGUCUUUUCCAACAGCACUGAAAAUAAACAUUCUAAAAGUGCCA